RNAcentral lists this transfer-messenger RNA (354 nucleotides) under Sulfurifustaceae. RNAcentral's name for it is "SM1-46 sp001304215 Standard tmRNA". It matches the Rfam family "transfer-messenger RNA". Rfam says of the family: Bacterial tmRNA, also known as 10Sa RNA or SsrA, is named for its dual tRNA and mRNA-like properties. Its role is to liberate the mRNA from a stalled ribosome. The record is from RNAcentral. RNAcentral also lists the same sequence under 1 other name. Lineage: Bacteria; Pseudomonadati; Pseudomonadota; Gammaproteobacteria; Acidiferrobacterales.
GGGGGUGACACGGCUUCGACGUGGGUCACGAAAUCUCUGGGGCAUGCCGAGGUGCAGAUCUCCUCGUAAAUCCAGCUGCAAACCAAUAGUUGCCAACGACGACAACUACGCUCUGGCGGCCUAAAACCCGCUAGCCUCUCGCCCGCGCUGAGCCCGUAGGCUGGAAUCGAGGGGUCAUCUUUACGGGAUCGCAUCGGCUUGUGCCUGUUAGGCCGGUGCUAAAACCAAGCAGGCUAAGCGCGUCGAUGACCCUGUCUGCCGGGGAGCGAGGCGUCAAAUAAAAGACAGACUACGCAUGUAGAACCGGAGCCGUAGGGCUUGCGGACGCGGGUUCAAUUCCCGCCACCUCCACCA